UAGAUACCCUAGUAGUCCACGCCGUAAACGAUGAGUACUAAGUGUUGGAUGUCAAAGUUCAGUGCUGCAGUUAACGCAAUAAGUACUCCGCCUGAGUAGUACGUUCGCAAGAAUGAAACUCAAAGGAAUUGACGGGGGCCCGCACAAGCGGUGGAGCAUGUGGUUUAAUUCGAAGCAACGCGAAGAACCUUACCAGGUCUUGACAUACUCAUAAAGGCUCCAGAGAUGGAGAGAUAGCUAUAUGAGAUACAGGUGGUGCAUGGUUGUCGUCAGCUCGUGUCGUGAGAUGUUGGGUUAAGUCCCGCAACGAGCGCAACCCUUAUCGUUAGUUACCAUCAUUAAGUUGGGGACUCUAGCGAGACUGCCAGUGACAAGCUGGAGGAAGGCGGGGAUGACGUCAAAUCAUCAUGCCCCUUAUGACCUGGGCUACACACGUGCUACAAUGGAUGGUGCAGAGGGAAGCGAAGCCGCGAGGUGAAGCAAAACCCAUAAAACCAUUCUCAGUUCGGAUUGUAGUCUGCAACUCGACUACAUGAAG
This 538-nucleotide ribosomal RNA is filed under the name Erysipelatoclostridium sp. MSK.23.68. Its description in RNAcentral is "bacterial SSU rRNA". It matches the Rfam family "Bacterial small subunit ribosomal RNA", at positions 779 to 1325 of the family's 1533-position model. The record is from RNAcentral. Lineage: Bacteria; Bacillati; Bacillota; Erysipelotrichia; Erysipelotrichales; Coprobacillaceae.